RNAcentral lists this ribosomal RNA (459 nucleotides) under uncultured bacterium. Its description in RNAcentral is "partial 16S ribosomal RNA". It matches the Rfam family "Bacterial small subunit ribosomal RNA", at positions 338 to 795 of the family's 1533-position model. The record is from RNAcentral.
CCUACGGGAGGCAGCAGUGAGGAAUAUUGGUCAAUGGCCGAGAGGCUGAACCAGCCAAGUCGCGUGAGGGAAGACGGCCCUACGGGUUGUAAACCUCUUUUGUCGGGGAGCAAAGCGAACCACGUGUGGUUCAUUGAGAGUACCCGAAGAAAAAGCAUCGGCUAACUCCGUGCCAGCAGCCGCGGUAAUACGGAGGAUGCGAGAGUUAUCCGGAUUUAUUGGGGUUAAAGGGUGCGCAGGCGGAGGUGCAAGUCAGCGGUCAAAUUGCGGGGCUCAACCCCGUACUGCCGUUGAAACUGCAUCCCUUGAGUGCGCGAGAAGUAUGCGGAAUGCGUGGUGUAGCGGUGAAAUGCAUAGAUAUCACGCAGAACUCAGAUUGCAAAGGCAGCAUACCGGCGCGCAACUGACGCUCAUGCACGAAAGCGUAGGUAUCGAACAGGAUUAGAUACCCUGGUAGUC